AGGUCUUGACAUCCCGAUGCUAUUUCUAGAGAUAGAAAGUUACUUCGGUACAUCGGAGACAGGUGGUGCAUGGUUGUCGUCAGCUCGUGUCGUGAGAUGUUGGGUUAAGUCCCGCAACGAGCGCAACCCUUACGUUCAGUUGCUAACGGUUUAAAGCCGAGCACUCUGGAUGAACUGCCGUUGAUAAAACGGAGGAAGGUGGGGAUGACGUCAAAUCAUCAUGCCCCUUAUACCCUGGGCUACACACGUGCUACAAUGGUCCGUACAGAGGGCUGCGACUCGGCGACGGGAAGCGAAUCCCUUAAAGCGGAUCUCAGUUCGGAUUGCAGGCUGCAACCCGCCUGCAUGAAGUCGGAAUCGCUAGUAAUCGCAGGUCAGCAUACUGCGGUGAAUACGUUCCCGGGCCUU
RNAcentral lists this ribosomal RNA (408 nucleotides) under uncultured Desulfurispora sp. RNAcentral's name for it is "bacterial SSU rRNA". It matches the Rfam family "Bacterial small subunit ribosomal RNA", at positions 976 to 1382 of the family's 1533-position model. The record is from RNAcentral. Lineage: Bacteria; Bacillati; Bacillota; Clostridia; Eubacteriales; Desulfurisporaceae.